AAGUCGUAACAAGGUUUCCGUAGGUGAACCUGCGGAAGGAUCAUUAAUGAAUGCAGUCCGAGGUUGAUGCUGGUCCCCUGACCGGGGGGCAUGUGCUCACCUUGCUCUCAUCCAUCUCACACCUGUGCACUACUGCGUGGGCCGGGUGGGCUCACGCCCCUCGGCUUGCGUCUUUUACACAAACUCUUGUAUGUUUUAAGAAUGUCAUUCAAAUGCAGUAAAAAGCAUCUUGUACAACUUUCAACAACGGAUCUCUUGGCUCUC
Molecule: unclassified non-coding RNA, 264 nt
Filed under: air metagenome
Description: partial contains small subunit ribosomal RNA, internal transcribed spacer 1, and 5.8S ribosomal RNA
Rfam family: Eukaryotic small subunit ribosomal RNA (bases 1-46)
Source: RNAcentral